UACGUAGGGUGCGAGCGUUGUCCGGAAUUACUGGGCGUAAAGCGCUCGUAGGUGGUUUGUCGCGUCGUCUGUGAAAUUCCGGGGCUUAACUCCGGGCGUGCAGGCGAUACGGGCAUAACUUGAGUACAGUAGGGGAGAGUGGAAUUCCUGGUGUAGCGGUGAAAUGCGCAGAGAUCAGGAGGAAUACCGGUGGCGAAGGCGGCUCUCUGGGCAGUAACUGACGCUGAGGUGCGAAAGCAUGGGGAGCCAACAGG
RNAcentral lists this ribosomal RNA (254 nucleotides) under uncultured bacterium. RNAcentral's name for it is "partial 16S ribosomal RNA". It matches the Rfam family "Bacterial small subunit ribosomal RNA", at positions 524 to 776 of the family's 1533-position model. The record is from RNAcentral.